UGCGUAGGUGGCAAGCGUUAUCCGGAAUUAUUGGGCGUAAAGCGCGCGCAGGCGGUUUCUUAAGUCUGAUGUGAAAGCCCACGGCUCAACCGUGGAGGGUCAUUGGAAACUGGGGAACUUGAGUGCAGAAGAGAAAAGCGGAAUUCCACGUGUAGCGGUGAAAUGCGUAGAGAUGUGGAGGAACACCAGUGGCGAAGGCGGCUUUUUGGUCUGUAACUGACGCUGAGGCGCGAAAGCGUGGGGAGCAAACAGG
This 253-nucleotide ribosomal RNA is filed under the name uncultured bacterium. Its description in RNAcentral is "partial 16S ribosomal RNA". It matches the Rfam family "Bacterial small subunit ribosomal RNA", at positions 524 to 776 of the family's 1533-position model. The record is from RNAcentral.